Molecule: long non-coding RNA, 903 nt
Organism: Solea solea (common sole)
Lineage: Eukaryota; Metazoa; Chordata; Actinopteri; Pleuronectiformes; Soleidae
Exons: 5
Source: RefSeq, a predicted model, not a curated record
GUAUCACAGCUGUCUGUCAGAACACCGGGGACACGAGGUCUCACUCUGACGCAGAAAAACACAGCAGCGGGGGAACAGGAGGUCUCACUCUGACACACAGACUGUUCCAGGCAAAGCAGGCCACCGUACCGAGCUCUGCUGGAAAACGACACCGAGCACAGAAGCUGCUGCAGGUCACAGAAGCCUGACCGCUGCCAGUUGUCGAGUUGACCUCUGACCUUUCCUCUGACCUGUGAGGAGCAGGGGGGCGGAGUCUCUGUCAGCACAGGAGGAGGAGACACAGUUUAAAUUCUUCACGUUUGAUCCAGAAUGAAAAUCACGGAUUUAGAGGAGAAGAAUGAAGAGAAGCAGAGCAGCUGAUUGGUCGUUAAUCCCGUUACGCCUGAACGCACCUCAGGUGAGCCACUGAGCCUGUGCUGCCUUCAGGUACCUCAAGCUGUGACCUCUGACCUCACUCAACAGGAAGUGAGUGUGUGGGUUCAAAUGUACGCGACCGCCUGAUCCCCGAGGAUUUGACUCUGAAGGGUUUGAAGUCUGCAGGCGACCUUUGACCUCCAGGACACUUUGUAGCCAAAGAACAAGAACAAGAGUCACAGAACAGGAACCUCUUCAGGACCUGGACCGCAGGGUCUUCAGGUUCUGGACCACAGUGUCUGGGGCGUCAGGUGGAUUCAACUCACCUGCUGUGAUGACAGGUUUCCACCACAGUCAUGUGAUGAAUAAGUGACAGGCGAUGGACACGUCCUCUUCUGGAGGCAACAGAGAGACAAGUGGACACUUGAAGAGUGUUUGUCGUCGCCUGUGUUUGAAAAGUCUGGACUUUCACUUUCACUCUCUGUUCUUAUAUGAGAGGCUCGAUUUUAGCUACGUCACAUGACCGCGUCUUUAUCUACGUCACAUGAC